CAAAGUUCCAUUCUUCCUGGGUUCCGCUUGACUCUGCAUUCUCCUACUUCCCUGCCUGCUUACUCUCUGCCAUCAUAGUUUUUUGCUUCAACCUUCAAAUGUAGCCAUUCUUUUUCUAAAGCGGUACUUAUUCUCUUUAUUAGUUAAAAUUAUUAAUUUUAUGCACUUACUGUUCUAGCUCCAAUUUUGCAUUUCCAGUUCCCUGCUGGGAAUAAAUUAAAUUGGCAGAAGCUCAGUCUAAGUGCCUGCAACAGAAUUUGUCCCAUAUCCAUACAACUUGCUCCUCCACAACAAAUGGGAGAAUCAUCCUCUUACCUCCAGGACAAGUCCCUUCCUGAAAAGCUCUUCAUUGUCUCUUGAAAACGGUCUGUGAAAGUGCCAAACCACCAGCUCUCCAGAUGUGGCUGAAUAUCAAGGCAUCCUCACAUGGUGGAAGGGACAGAAGGCAAAAAAGGGAGGAACACUGUGUCCUCACAUGGCAGAAGAGCAGAAGAGAAUGAACUCAUUCCCUCAAGCCCUGCUAGAAGGGCACUACUCUCAUCCACUAGGACUCCAACCUCACAGCUUCAUCACCUCUUAAAAGCCCCACCUCUUCAUACUAUCAGUUGAUUAUUAAAUUCCAACAUCUGAAUGUUGGAGGACACAUCCAGACCGUAGCAUCCCUCAAAAAAAGAAUAAAGAUGUUCCAUAGCACCCAUCAUUUAUUGAAAUGAUUUUCGAACACAAAUACAGCAUUGAGAGCAAGCUUUUAAAAUAAAUUGAGGGGCUUCUGGGUCAAGAUCACUAAUGGAACACACAUGUUCAUUUUAUAUUCUUCUCUGGACACUAUUAAAAUGAGAGUAAAGGAAUGUUAAACCAUAAACCCACAAAAAUAAGAGACCUGGCAAAGAGAAAAAUCAGUGUGAAAAAGCACAUUGCAAAUUUCUGGAAGAUGAAAAGGAGAUAGAGGUAGACAGCCAGAUGAAGAUGAGCUGCCAAGAAG
Molecule: long non-coding RNA, 982 nt
Filed under: Homo sapiens (human)
Lineage: Eukaryota; Metazoa; Chordata; Mammalia; Primates; Hominidae
Description: HSALNT0334724
Source: RNAcentral